Molecule: long non-coding RNA, 2732 nt
Organism: Gallus gallus (chicken)
Lineage: Eukaryota; Metazoa; Chordata; Aves; Galliformes; Phasianidae
Exons: 3
Source: RefSeq, a predicted model, not a curated record
GGGCACAGAAAGCAGCCUCAGUGGUGGAGGGGAGAUGUUCCUGGGUAGCACAGCGUGGUGAUGCUCUUCCUGCAGGGUGCAAGCAAAGGGGACAAAGAGGCUGCGGUGUCCCCAGGUGACACUCGCUGCCCAGGCGGGGACACCCACUCACCCCAAAUCACUGCCAUGUGGGGUGCACCAAAGCACGGAUCCCUCGUGGGAUAAGGCAGCAAUGGGCACAGGGAUGCGGUGACACGGCUGUCACCGGCCGCAGUGGAAAGCCGUGGGUGCAGAGAGGUCACCUGGGAUGCAGGGAGAGGCUUUGGGGAUGGCGUGCUGGGGACGAGCCAGCAGCACCCCGUGUCAUCUGGUCCUUCUGGGGAGGGAGAAGGAUCGUGUCAAAUGCGAUUAAGUGGAUGAAGGACGGAGCAGAUAAAGCGGAGCUGCAGCCCAUCUCGUGCACUAACUGAAUUGCAGCUUUCCAGGCAGUGAACAAAUGAAAUCAGGGCUCAAGACCUGGCCAUCAGUGGGAGCAGUGGGGCUGUGCUUCAGGAGGAGAGGAGAAGCAAAGGCAAGAGGAGACAUUCCUGCAGCAGAGCCAGAGGCUGCCUCACAUUUGGAGCACCAACACCCAAAAAGAGCAGCUCCAGAAGAGGUAGCAAAGCUCUCAGCAAAGGCUCUCCCCGUGGAGCCGAAUCCCGAGCCCUGUUCCUUGUGUUUCUCCUCCUUCCCCUCCAUGCAUCAUCCCUAUUUACUCUGGGAAGCCAAACUGCAGAGGCUGCUGGUUAUAAUUAUACAGUUACCCAGCAGAUAUCCAGGCCUGAAUCACCCGUUAUUUUUAGCCCUAUUACCUAGUCAACUGGAGCUGGGUGAAGAAGAGCCUCCACCCUCCCCUCACCCCAUCCCAGCCCCCCUCCGACCCAUGAGCCCAGCACUCUCAGGCGUGAUGCUGGGCUGCAGGUUACAGCCAGGUGCUCACAUCCUAUGGCCCUCCUGCACCAGUUCCAAGAGGAGAGCACCUUUCUUGGCCAACGUCGCCAAUAAUGGCAUGACUACACUGCUUCCACCCAAAGAGACCUCAUUACAAGGUUAGCACAGCCCAAAGCUACACCGAUGCUAGCAUGGCAGUUGGGGCAUCCUGGCGUAGCACAAGUUGAGGUGGCACUGAGGUCCACUCCACCAAAUGAAGCUCAGCCCCAUGCAAAGCUUACAAGCGCUCAUUCCACUUGACCCAGCAUAUACAACCGGCAUCCAAAGGUCCCUUUUUUCCAGCCCAUCACACAGUGGGCACAAACCCAUCACCAAAAAGCUUUGCCCAUAGCCAAGCCCUCAAAAGCUCGAUGCACAACAAACCCUGGGGUGGGUGAAUUUCCUGGAAAGAGAUGGCAGCCACACAUGGCACGGCAACCAAGAUACAGCUCCCACUCUACACACUUGCCUAGGGAUGCAUCCCUUCUUUUUGAGGAAAAGAAUUAAUAUAAAUUAACAAACCAGCCCAUCUCCCUCCUGCAAUGCAAGUCCUAGGGAGGAAUAACACCAUAGGGUUGCUGCAGCACAGUGGCCAUGCACCAACUGGCAGGUGAGCACCACACUGGCAUGGGACCCCGGCCCAUAGCCCUGCUCAGAGGAACAGCCGAGCAGCGAGAGCCCUCCCACAUCGUGCUGGGAAAGCACAUGAAUAAUUUGGCAUAUUCUGGAAAACAAGACCCAGCGGCCCAGCGAGCACCCUGCAGUGCUCCGAGUGCAGCUGCUGCCUCGCUGAUGCUCUGCACCCAGCACAGGGCUGGGCAUGGCACGGCGGGGAUUCAGCAAAGCUGCCCUCAUCCCACAGUGCCCUGCACCUCUAUGGCACAGCUGGACCCCCAGCAGGCCCUGGGGUGAACCCAGAGGCUGCAGUGCACCAGUACACAGGGUUAUGCCCCCAGCAAUGCUCAGCAUGGGGUGGCAGCCCCAUGGGUGUCCCCAGGGCACCUGUUGCACUGAGUCACCCCGUAUCUGCUGGGCACCUCCAUCCCACACCCAAGGAGCCAGCAAGUUGCCCAACAAGUUGCAGGGAGAGGAAGCGACGGCGAGAGCUGCACAUAAUCACCACUGCAGAGAGCGCUACGGGGAGGGUCCUGGAGCCAAAGCAUGGCCACGGGGAAGUUUGUGGGUUUGGGAGGGGAGCGGGGUGCUGAGCAGAGGUGUGAUGGAGAGGGGCAUGCAGCAGGGCUGGGUACCAAGCACAGUUCCCAGGGCACCUGCAGGGAAGGUGGGAGGAGAGAGAAAUGCAUGGCGGGUGCAAAAGGAUGGGGGAGCAGGAGAAGGAGUGGGAGAUUCAUGCCCUCUGCCUGGUGUAUUCCUGAGGCAAUCCCUGGAGCAGACGCAGCAGGAGGCAGGCAGAGGGGAGGAACAACGAUCUGUUGACGGUGAAGCAGUUCUGCCGGACGGGGAUGGGGUUGUACAGAGCCAUAGUCCGGGCUCGCUGCGCUUUGGUUUGCUUGAAGGCUCCCGGGGACCCUCCCGCCGGAGCAGCGGCUCCUUGCCGGCUGCGGUUCUGCUCGGAGCCCCCAUCCCCGGAGCCCAGCCUGCCAGCCACCGCCUCCCCGAAGCGAGCCAUCCUGCAAGAAAGCGCACAGCACCCAGCGCAGCGCAGGGGAGGCCGGCGAACAGGUUGCAGCGCGAUCCAGCCUAGUUGAAGCCAAGUGGCCAACUUCCUCCCGCCGCCUCCAUCUUCGGCAGCCCCCCCGGGAGCCCCCCGGCCCCUCUGCAGG